UACGGAGGGGGCUAGCGUUGUUCGGAAUUACUGGGCGUAAAGCGCGCGUAGGCGGACCUGCAAGUCGGGGGUGAAAGCCCGAGGCUCAACCUCGGAACUGCCUCCGAUACUGCGGGUCUCGAGUCCGGGAGAGGUGAGUGGAAUUCCUAGUGUAGAGGUGAAAUUCGUAGAUAUUAGGAAGAACACCAGUGGCGAAGGCGGCUCACUGGCCCGGUACUGACGCUGAGGCGCGAAAGCGUGGGGAGCAAACAGG
This 253-nucleotide ribosomal RNA is filed under the name uncultured bacterium. Its description in RNAcentral is "partial 16S ribosomal RNA". It matches the Rfam family "Bacterial small subunit ribosomal RNA", at positions 524 to 776 of the family's 1533-position model. The record is from RNAcentral.